UUUUUUUUAGUUUAAAAAAAAUAAUAUAUUUUCAAUAUAUAGUUUAAUAACAAUA
Molecule: transfer RNA, 55 nt
Filed under: Opimothrips tubulatus
Lineage: Eukaryota; Metazoa; Arthropoda; Insecta; Thysanoptera; Thripidae
Description: tRNA-Glu
Source: RNAcentral